RNAcentral lists this ribosomal RNA (1312 nucleotides) under Escherichia coli. RNAcentral's name for it is "partial 23S ribosomal RNA". It matches the Rfam family "Bacterial large subunit ribosomal RNA", at positions 432 to 1746 of the family's 2925-position model. Lineage: Bacteria; Pseudomonadati; Pseudomonadota; Gammaproteobacteria; Enterobacterales; Enterobacteriaceae. The record is from RNAcentral.
UCCUGUCUGAAUAUGGGGGGACCAUCCUCCAAGGCUAAAUACUCCUGACUGACCGAUAGUGAACCAGUACCGUGAGGGAAAGGCGAAAAGAACCCCGGCGAGGGGAGUGAAAAAGAACCUGAAACCGUGUACGUACAAGCAGUGGGAGCACGCUUAGGCGUGUGACUGCGUACCUUUUGUAUAAUGGGUCAGCGACUUAUAUUCUGUAGCAAGGUUAACCGAAUAGGGGAGCCGAAGGGAAACCGAGUCUUAACUGGGCGUUAAGUUGCAGGGUAUAGACCCGAAACCCGGUGAUCUAGCCAUGGGCAGGUUGAAGGUUGGGUAACACUAACUGGAGGACCGAACCGACUAAUGUUGAAAAAUUAGCGGAUGACUUGUGGCUGGGGGUGAAAGGCCAAUCAAACCGGGAGAUAGCUGGUUCUCCCCGAAAGCUAUUUAGGUAGCGCCUCGUGAAUUCAUCUCCGGGGGUAGAGCACUGUUUCGGCAAGGGGGUCAUCCCGACUUACCAACCCGAUGCAAACUGCGAAUACCGGAGAAUGUUAUCACGGGAGACACACGGCGGGUGCUAACGUCCGUCGUGAAGAGGGAAACAACCCAGACCGCCAGCUAAGGUCCCAAAGUCAUGGUUAAGUGGGAAACGAUGUGGGAAGGCCCAGACAGCCAGGAUGUUGGCUUAGAAGCAGCCAUCAUUUAAAGAAAGCGUAAUAGCUCACUGGUCGAGUCGGCCUGCGCGGAAGAUGUAACGGGGCUAAACCAUGCACCGAAGCUGCGGCAGCGACGCUGAUGCGUUGUUGGGUAGGGGAGCGUUCUGUAAGCCUGUGAAGGUGUGCUGUGAGGCAUGCUGGAGGUAUCAGAAGUGCGAAUGCUGACAUAAGUAACGAUAAAGCGGGUGAAAAGCCCGCUCGCCGGAAGACCAAGGGUUCCUGUCCAACGUUAAUCGGGGCAGGGUGAGUCGACCCCUAAGGCGAGGCCGAAAGGCGUAGUCGAUGGGAAACAGGUUAAUAUUCCUGUACUUGGUGUUACUGCGAAGGGGGGACGGAGAAGGCUAUGUUGGCCGGGCGACGGUUGUCCCGGUUUAAGCGUGUAGGCUGGUUUUCCAGGCAAAUCCGGAAAAUCAAGGCUGAGGCGUGAUGACGAGGCACUACGGUGCUGAAGCAACAAAUGCCCUGCUUCCAGGAAAAGCCUCUAAGCAUCAGGUAACAUCAAAUCGUACCCCAAACCGACACAGGUGGUCAGGUAGAGAAUACCAAGGCGCUUGAGAGAACUCGGGUGAAGGAACUAGGCAAAAUGGUGCCGUAACUUCGGGAGAAGG